RNAcentral lists this transfer RNA (72 nucleotides) under Actinomycetota bacterium. RNAcentral's name for it is "Actinobacteria bacterium (hydrocarbon metagenome) tRNA-Ala". It matches the Rfam family "tRNA". From Rfam's summary of the family: Transfer RNA (tRNA) molecules are approximately 80 nucleotides in length. Their secondary structure includes four short double-helical elements and three loops (D, anti-codon, and T loops). Further hydrogen bonds mediate the characteristic L-shaped molecular structure. tRNAs have two regions of fundamental functional importance: the anti-codon, which is responsible for specific mRNA codon recognition, and the 3' end, to which the tRNAs corresponding amino acid is attached (by aminoacyl-tRNA synthetases). tRNAs cope with the degeneracy of the genetic code in two manners: having more than one tRNA (with a specific anti-codon) for a particular amino acid; and 'wobble' base-pairing, i.e. permitting non-standard base-pairing at the 3rd anti-codon position. Lineage: Bacteria; Bacillati; Actinomycetota. The record is from RNAcentral.
GGGGGUGUAGCUCAGCUGGGAGAGCACCUGCCUUGCAAGCAGGGGGUCAGCGGUUCGAUCCCGCUCAUCUCC